Molecule: long non-coding RNA, 2838 nt
Organism: Struthio camelus australis
Lineage: Eukaryota; Metazoa; Chordata; Aves; Struthioniformes; Struthionidae
Source: Ensembl
GUGACUCAUCACUUCCCUGCCUGCAAUUGAGGGUGCUAUGCCGGUCUCUAUAACAAAAUUCCCUCUUGGCUUCUCCCUGACUUUUCCUGGUUGCUCCGUGCAGGCAGCAUGCGGCGUGGGGGCAGCGGGAGGAAGCCAUGACGCUGCUGAGCACAGACGGGGAGGAAUGGCAUUUACCCACGUCUUAUUUGCGCACUGUGGAGGCUCCAUUAAAAAAGGCANNNNNNNNNNNNNNNNNNNNNNNNNNNNNNNNNNNNNNNNNNNNNNNNNNNNNNNNNNNNNNNAAGAGGCUGAAAAAUGCUUUCUCAAGAGCUGGCACCUCAAGGCAGGCACCUCUGUUAUUUUACCAUUGCGCAUGUCUCUCCCAUUGUUGUUUCUCUCUGUUAUUUUAUGUGAGCACAGUGGUGUGGCCACUUAGGGCAGCAUAUCGAUGCCUCCGCAGAUGUAGCAUUCACAUCCGUAUUGUUUCCUAUCGGGACCUCCCGUUGCAACAUGGGCUAGCGCAGACAAAACUUUAUGGGCCAAGUUUGGUUUUGGUACUGGUACUAUGAAGUUUUUUAGUGAUAGUGACUAGAUUGGAGGCCUUAUUUAUACUUGCUCCUUAUUUUGCAGAGCCCCUCUGCCAUACAUUGAAUCUUCCUCCAAGCCCGCCUUUGGCACAACACGGAGAUUAGCAACCUAAGGGAAGAUCUUGAUGAAAGAUGAAUUUUAGAGAUGGACAGAUAGACCAAAAAAUUAGUGAAAUUAGGCUUAAAUUUAGCCAAAACACAAAACUCGCAUUGUUUUAACUAAUCAAUAAGCCAUUAUACUACAUUUUCAUCAGUCCACAAUAUUUUCUUCCACUUUGAAUGAAACAUUCAGUUUUGGUUUCUGGUUCAUUUAAUACUCUAUUUUAAUACUCCUAUAACGCUUUUUGAAUUUUUUUGCUUUAAAUAAUAGCAGAUUAAUUUUUAAUUGGAAAAUAGCUGAAAGAAAAAAGUGUUGUUGUUUUCAGGACAUAACGAGAAAGUUUGCCUUUUCAGAAGUAAAGCGUUUCAAUCUGACGUUAAAAAAAAAAAAAUCCUUCCUGAAUCUUUUUUCCAGGAAAAACUGUUUGGCAAACAUGUUGAGUUCCAGAAGGAUUUAAUCUUUCCCAAACUCCUUUUUUUUUUCAUGAAAUUAACUAAUUAUUUCAUUUGUAGUGUUAUUCAGCUCCACCGUGGCAGGAUGAAAGCAAGGGAGCUGUAAUUUUCUGCGUGAGUGUCAUUGUAACAAUAGAGAUCUAAGGCUGUAAGAGGCAAGUUUUGUAGGGAAUAGAUUUCAUUACAUUGAUUUAUUGACACUAUAUGGUUGGGACAAAAAAGGACAAGAUUUUAAGUCAAUGUCACCAGGUCCUGGAUUUUAUUUGAUUUGUCUGAGUGUUCACUGUUUCCUUCCACACUUUUUUCUUUCAGAUAUUCUCAUGCAGAAUGACACUAGGAUAGCAAGAGACUGGGGCCUGGCAUGACAAAUUUUAGUGUGAACUAGAAACACACAGCUUGAGUGGAAAGCAGCAAAAACUAAGUGACACUGAUUUGGUCUUUGAUGGACACAUCCCUCAAAACCUCUGGAGCUACUAUUUCUUUUCUCUGUUUGCCUAAUCCUGUAUUGCAUCCAUGUCCAUGCCGUACCCUUCUACAUACAUGUGCUAUGGCAGUUCAUUAAAGCCUACACACAGGAGAUCAGAUUUCAUUCAUAUUAGCUUCCAUUGGUGCUGAGAUUGUGAAAGAGAUAAUAGUUUGUAUCGCCCAAACGUGUUGUUGUCCCUCACUUCCCUGGAAACAAAGUUGAAAAAAAGACGUUUCUGUGAUGUUUAGUUCACAAGAUCUCUGAGCAAGCAGUGAAAAUGAACAGAUGCUCUUCAUAUAGAUAGCAUAGCACAUCAUCUGAUCUGGAAUGUUAUUUCUCUCAUUUUGUGAUGAUUAUUAAAACAGUAAUGAAAGCACACUUUGGUAAAUGAAAUAUCACACCUCACUGUUUCCAUGCUAUAGAACUGAAUAGGGCAGAAACAUGGAUACUUGCAGCUCUUCACAGACUGAUCUUCUCAAGGGCGCUGAGAAAAUCUUUUAAGCACAACAGAUAACAGGAUAUUUUCAGCCCCAGAAGUCUGUAUUCCACCUUGAUAGGACCUGCUAGGUAGCUUGAGCAGUUUUAUGAUGUGAAUAAGGCAAUCUAACAGCUAGCUGCUACCAGAAAGACCCCACUGCCAGCCCAUACCAGCCCCAUGCCAACCACAUAUUCCCACCAUCUUUCCUCCUGUGCCAGCAUCAACCCUUGGCCAAGCCUAUGAUGAGUUGGUUCGGAGAGAAAUACUAGCAAAAAAAUAAUCUUACCAGGAAAAAAAAAAGCAGCCUUCUACUGGUUUAGCUCCCUGAAUCUGCUUAUCAUGGGACCCUGGCCAGAUACCAAAGCCAGUAGGGUAAAAAGACCAGGAGCAGGACCACCCCCGUGAGCAGCACAUUGAUGGGAAGCCGGCUCGACCACACCAGAGUGCCAUGCUCCUAGGGAGCAGUCAACCUGUGGAGUGAGAGGCUGGUUUUACACUUUGGAGUAGUCCCCACCAUUUUCUGUUUGAUUUCUGCUGUCAUUUGAAUUGUUGCAUAUGCUUGCUCCUGUGACAUCCUUUUGUCUCUACAAUGUUUUACGGAACUUAAAUGCAUCCUCAAAAACACUAAAAAUGUGUGUGUUACCCAUGCAAAGAUGGAAUUAACCAGUUUCAGAUUGUCAACUUUUGGCGGGGGUGGGGAGGGGGAGUGAGGCGCUGAAGAUUGCCCUUUCAAUUUUAGAAAGUUACAAAUAAAAGCAUUUAACAGCCUUCCA